This 465-nucleotide ribosomal RNA is filed under the name uncultured bacterium. RNAcentral's name for it is "partial 16S ribosomal RNA". It matches the Rfam family "Bacterial small subunit ribosomal RNA", at positions 338 to 795 of the family's 1533-position model. The record is from RNAcentral.
CCUACGGGAGGCAGCAGUAGGGAAUCUUCCACAAUGGGCGGAAGCCUGAUGCAGCAACGCCGCGUGGGUGAAGAAGGUCUUCGGAUCGUAAAACCCUGUUGUUAGAGAAGAAAGUGCGUGAGCGUAACUGUUCACGUUUCGACGGUAUCUAACCAGAAAGCCACGGCUAACUACGUGCCAGCAGCCGCGGUAAUACGUAGGGGGCAAGCGUUCUCCGGAUUUAUUGGGCGUAAAGGGAACGCAGGCGGUCAUUUAAGUCUGAUGUGAAAGCCUUCGGCUUAACCGGAGUAGUGCAUUGGAAACUGGGAGACUUGAGUGCAGAAGAGGAGAGUGGAACUCCAGGUGUAGCGGUGAAAUGCGUAGAUAUAUGGAAGAACACCAGUGGCGAAAGCGGCUCGCUGGUCUGUAACUGACGCUGAGGCUCGAAAGCGUGGGUAGCAAACAGGAUUAGAUACCCGAGUAGUC